This 499-nucleotide ribosomal RNA is filed under the name uncultured bacterium. RNAcentral's name for it is "bacterial SSU rRNA". It matches the Rfam family "Bacterial small subunit ribosomal RNA", at positions 25 to 518 of the family's 1533-position model. The record is from RNAcentral.
CAGGAUGAACGCUAGCGACAGGCUAACACAUGCAAGUCGAGGGGCAGCAUAAAAGUAGCAAUACUUGGUGGCGACCGGCGCACGGGUGAGUAACGCGUAUGCAACCUACCUAUCAGAGGGGAAUAACCCGGCGAAAGUCGGACUAAUACCGCAUAAAACAGGGACACCGCAUGGUGAUAUUUGUUAAAGAAAUUCGCUGAUAGAUGGGCAUGCGUUCCAUUAGGUAGUUGGUGAGGUAACGGCUCACCAAGCCGACGAUGGAUAGGGGAACUGAGAGGUUGGUCCCCCACACUGGUACUGAGACACGGACCAGACUCCUACGGGAGGCAGCAGUGAGGAAUAUUGGUCAAUGGGCGAGAGCCUGAACCAGCCAAGUCGCGUGAAGGAAGAAGGAUCUAUGGUUCGUAAACUUCUUUUGCAGGGGAAUAAAGUGCAGGACGUGUCCUGUUUUGUAUGUACCCUGAGAAUAAGGAUCGGCUAACUCCGUGCCAGCCGCCGC